AGAGUUUGAUCCUGGCUCAGGAUGAACGCCGACAGAAUGCUUAACACAUGCAAGUCUACUUGAUCCUUCGGGUGAUGGUGGCGGACGGGUGAGUAACGCGUAAAGAACUUGCCUUGCAGUCUGGGACAACGUCUGGAAACGGACGCUAAUACCGGAUAUUAUGAUUGAAUCGCAUGAUUUGAUUAUGAAAGCUAUAUGCGCUGCGAGAGAGCUUUGCGUCCCAUUAGUUAGUUGGUGAGGUAACGGCUCACCAAGACGAUGAUGGGUAGCCGGCCUGAGAGGGUGAACGGCCACAAGGGGACUGAGACACGGCCCUUACUCCUACGGGAGGCAGCAGUGGGGAAUAUUGGACAAUGGACCAAAAGUCUGAUCCAGCAAUUCUGUGUGCACGAUGAAGUUUUUCGGAAUGUAAAGUGCUUUCAGUUGGGAAGAAGAAAGUGACGGUACCAACAGAAUAAGCACCGGCUAACUACGUGCCAGCAGCCGCGGUAAUACGUAGGGUGCAAGCGUUAAUCGGAAUUACUGGGCGUAAAGCGUGCGCAGGCGGUUCUGUAAGACAGAUGCGAAAUCCCCGGGCUCAACCUGGGAAUUGCAUUUGUGACUGCAGGACUAGAGUUCAUCAGAGGGGGGUGGAAUUCCAAGUGUAGCAGUGAAAUGCGUAGAUAUUUGGAAGAACACCAAUGGCGAAGGCAGCCCCCUGGGAUGCGACUGACGCUCAUGCACGAAAGCGUGGGGAGCAAACAGGAUUAGAUACCCUGGUAGUCCACGCCCUAAACGAUGUCUACUGGUUGUUGGGGAUUAAUAUCCUUGGUAACGAAGCUAACGCGUGAAGUAGACCGCCUGGGGAGUACGGUCGCAAGAUUAAAACUCAAAGGAAUUGACGGGGACCCGCACAAGUAGCGGAGCAUGUGGUUUAAUUCGAAGCAACGCGAAGAACCUUACCUACACUUGACAUCCCUUGCAUUACUCUUAAUCGAGGAAAUCCCUUCGGGGACAAGGUGACAGGUGGUGCAUGGUUGUCGUCAGCUCGUGUCGUGAGAUGUUGGGUUAAGUCCCGCAACGAGCGCAACCCUUGUCGUUAGUUACUACCAUUAAGUUGAGGACUCUAGCGAGACUGCCUGGGUUAACCAGGAGGAAGGUGGGGAUGACGUCAAAUCAUCAUGCCCCUUAUGUGUAGGGCUACACACGUGCUACAAUGGCUGGUACAGAGAGAUGCAAUACCGCGAGGUGGAGCCAAACUUAAAAACCAGUCUCAGUUCGGAUUGUAGGCUGAAACUCGCCUACAUGAAGCUGGAGUUACUAGUAAUCGCGAAUCAGAAUGUCGCGGUGAAUACGUUCCCGGGUCUUGCACUCACCGCCCGUCA
RNAcentral lists this ribosomal RNA (1364 nucleotides) under uncultured bacterium. Its description in RNAcentral is "partial 16S ribosomal RNA". It matches the Rfam family "Bacterial small subunit ribosomal RNA". The record is from RNAcentral.